This 253-nucleotide ribosomal RNA is filed under the name uncultured bacterium. RNAcentral describes it as "partial 16S ribosomal RNA". It matches the Rfam family "Bacterial small subunit ribosomal RNA", at positions 524 to 776 of the family's 1533-position model. The record is from RNAcentral.
UACGGAGGGUGCAAGCGUUGUUCGGAUUCACUGGGUAUAAAGGGUGCGCAGGCGGCUCGGUAAGUCAGGGGUGAAAUAUGACGGCUCAACCGUCAAACUGCCUCUGAAACUGCCUUGCUUGAGUCCGGGAGAGGAAGGUGGAAUUCCUGGUGUAGCGGUGAAAUGCGUAAAUAUCAGGAGGAACACCGGUGGCGAAGGCGGCCUUCUGGCCCGGUACUGACGCUCAUGCACGAAAGCCAGGGGAGCGAACGGG